GGUUGUAGCUCAGUGGUAGAGCAUUUGCCAAGCACGUGUGAGGUACUGGGUUCAAUCCUCAGCACUA
Molecule: transfer RNA, 67 nt
Filed under: Marmota monax (woodchuck)
Lineage: Eukaryota; Metazoa; Chordata; Mammalia; Rodentia; Sciuridae
Description: tRNA.Ala
Source: RNAcentral